RNAcentral lists this transfer RNA (76 nucleotides) under bacterium. RNAcentral's name for it is "tRNA-Thr". It matches the Rfam family "tRNA". From Rfam's summary of the family: Transfer RNA (tRNA) molecules are approximately 80 nucleotides in length. Their secondary structure includes four short double-helical elements and three loops (D, anti-codon, and T loops). RNAcentral also lists the same sequence under 7 other names. The record is from RNAcentral.
GCCCGCGUAGCUCAGUCGGAAGAGCGCAUCCUUGGUAAGGAUGAGGUCACCAGUUCAAUUCUGGUCGUGGGCUCCA